GGCCAACCUUCAGAAUCCUAGGAGGCUCAUAAGGCAGCAAUCCAAGCACUCAUAAAGCUGCCUUCAGGCGAGCUUGUUACAGGUUCAAGUGAUACAACUUUAAAACUUUGGAGAGGAAGCAAAUGUACACAUACUUUUGUUGGGCAUACAGUGGGAAAGGAAUGCUUGCACUUUUGACGGAAGUGAGAUUGAUUCUUGAUUUGAAGUUGCUCUUCCGGACUUUAUCUAAGCGGACUAAUGCUUUGGCAUUCAUUACCAAUCUGACUGGUUUUGUAUUUAUCUUCACAUGAUUGAGAGUUGUGUUAUUUGCUUCAAACUUGGCUUUAUAAUAUGGCUUUAUAUAUCA
Molecule: long non-coding RNA, 346 nt
Organism: Quercus robur (English oak)
Lineage: Eukaryota; Viridiplantae; Streptophyta; Magnoliopsida; Fagales; Fagaceae
Exons: 3
Source: RefSeq, a predicted model, not a curated record